GCCAGACUCCUACGGGAGGCAGCAGUGGGGGAUAUUGCACAAUGGGGGAAACCCUGAUGCAGCGACGCCGCGUGAGUGAAGAAGUAUUUCGGUAUGUAAAGCUCUAUCAGCAGGGAAGAAAAAAGACGGUACCUGACUAAGAAGCCCCGGCUAACUACGUGCCAGCAGCCGCGGUAAUACGUAGGGGGCAAGCGUUAUCCGGAUUUACUGGGUGUAAAGGGAGCGUAGACGGCAAUACAAGUCGGAAGUGAAAUACCCGGGCUCAACCUGGGAACUGCUUUGGAAACUGUAUGGCUGGAGUGCUGGAGAGGUAAGCGGAAUUCCUAGUGUAGCGGUGAAAUGCGUAGAUAUUAGGAGGAACACCAGUGGCGAAGGCGGCUUACUGGACAGUAACUGACGUUGAGGCUCGAAAGCGUGGGGAGCAAACAGGAUUAGAUACCCUAGUAC
Molecule: ribosomal RNA, 447 nt
Filed under: uncultured bacterium
Lineage: Bacteria
Description: bacterial SSU rRNA
Rfam family: Bacterial small subunit ribosomal RNA
Source: RNAcentral